RNAcentral lists this ribosomal RNA (253 nucleotides) under uncultured bacterium. RNAcentral describes it as "partial 16S ribosomal RNA". It matches the Rfam family "Bacterial small subunit ribosomal RNA", at positions 524 to 776 of the family's 1533-position model. The record is from RNAcentral.
GACGUAGGGCGCGAGCGUUGUCCGGAUUUAUUGGGCGUAAAGAGCUCGUAGGCGGUCUGUCGCGUCUGCCGUGAAAACCCGAGGCUUAACCUCGGGCUGGCGGUGGAUACGGGCAGACUAGAGGUAGGUAGGGGAGAAUGGAAUUCCCGGUGUAGCGGUGAAAUGCGCAGAUAUCGGGAGGAACACCGGUGGCGAAGGCGGUUCUCUGGGCCUUACCUGACGCUGAGGAGCGAAAGCGUGGGGAGCAAACAGG